Molecule: small nucleolar RNA, 77 nt
Organism: Sinocyclocheilus anshuiensis
Lineage: Eukaryota; Metazoa; Chordata; Actinopteri; Cypriniformes; Cyprinidae
Source: Ensembl
UUCUGUGAUGAAACCGCUAUAUAGGAAGUGCCGUCUGAUGCGAUAACUGACGAUGGCAAAGCAACAUCUUUCUGAGA